Molecule: ribosomal RNA, 492 nt
Filed under: uncultured bacterium
Lineage: Bacteria
Description: partial 16S ribosomal RNA
Rfam family: Bacterial small subunit ribosomal RNA
Source: RNAcentral
AGUGAACGCUGGCGAUAGGCCUAACACAUGCAAGUCGAACGGCAGCACAGUAAGAGCUUGCUCUUACGGGUGGCGAGUGGCGGACGGGUGAGGAAUACAUCGGAAUCUACUUUUUCGUGGGGGAUAACGUAGGGAAACUUACGCUAAUACCGCAUACGACCUACGGGUGAAAGCAGGGGAUCUUCGGACCUUGCGCGAUUGAAUGAGCCGAUGUCGGAUUAGCUAGUUGGCGGGGUAAAGGCCCACCAAGGCGACGAUCCGUAGCUGGUCUGAGAGGAUGAUCCGCCACACUGGAACUGAGACACGGUCCAGACUCCUACGGGAGGCAGCAGUGGGGAAUAUUGGACAAUGGGCGCAGGCCUGAUCCAGCCAUGCCGCGUGGGUGAAGAAGGCCUUCGGGUUGUAAAGCCCUUUUGUUGGGAAAGAAAAGCAGCAGGUUAAUACCCCGCUGUUCUGACGGUACCCAAAGAAUAAGCACCGGCUAACUUCGUG